This 493-nucleotide ribosomal RNA is filed under the name uncultured bacterium. RNAcentral describes it as "partial 16S ribosomal RNA". It matches the Rfam family "Bacterial small subunit ribosomal RNA", at positions 29 to 523 of the family's 1533-position model. The record is from RNAcentral.
AUUGAACGCUGGCGGCAUGCUUUACACAUGCAAGUCGAACGGUAACAGGUUAAGCUGACGAGUGGCGAACGGGUGAGUAAUGCAUCGGAACGUGCCCGGUCGUGGGGGAUAACGCAGCGAAAGCUGCGCUAAUACCGCAUACGAUCUGAGGAUGAAAGCGGGGGACCGUAAGGCUUCGCGCGAUCGGAGCGGCCGAUGUCAGAUUAGGUAGUUGGUGGGGUAAAGGCUCACCAAGCCAACGAUCUGUAGCUGGUCUGAGAGGACGACCAGCCACACUGGGACUGAGACACGGCCCAGACUCCUACGGGAGGCAGCAGUGGGGAAUUUUGGACAAUGGGCGAAAGCCUGAUCCAGCAAUGCCGCGUGCAGGAAGAAGGCCUUCGGGUUGUAAACUGCUUUUGUACGGAGCGAAAAGGUCUCCUCUAAUACAGGGGGCUCAUGACGGUACCGUAAGAACAAGCACCGGCUAACUACGUGCCAGCAGCCGCGGUAA